This 345-nucleotide ribosomal RNA is filed under the name Coelotrypes sp. 09-07-11-15-(1)-D. RNAcentral describes it as "partial 16S ribosomal RNA". Lineage: Eukaryota; Metazoa; Arthropoda; Insecta; Diptera; Tephritidae. The record is from RNAcentral.
GGCCGCAGUAUUCUAACUGUGCAAAGGUAGCAUAAUCAUUAGUCUUUUAAUUGAAGGCUGGUAUGAACGGUUGGACGAAGUAUAAGCUGUUUCAUAUAAAUUUAUAUUAGAAUUUUAUAUUUUAGUUAAAAAGCUAAAAUUUUAUUAAAAGACGAGAAGACCCUAUAAAUCUUUAUAUUUACUUUUAAAUAAAUUUUAUAGAUUAAUUUUGUUUUGUUAAAAAUAAAUAUUUUGUUGGGGUGAUAUUAAAAUUUAAUAAACUUUUAAUGAAUAAUGACAUUAAUUUAUGAUUUAUUGAUCCAUUAAUAAUGAUUAUAAGAUUAAGUUACUUUAGGGAUAACAGCG